Molecule: transfer RNA, 75 nt
Filed under: Acholeplasmatales bacterium
Lineage: Bacteria; Bacillati; Mycoplasmatota; Mollicutes; Acholeplasmatales
Description: tRNA-Gly
Rfam family: tRNA
About the family: Transfer RNA (tRNA) molecules are approximately 80 nucleotides in length. Their secondary structure includes four short double-helical elements and three loops (D, anti-codon, and T loops).
Source: RNAcentral
GCAGGUAUGGUGCAACGGUUAACACGCGACCUUGCCAAGGUUGAGAUGGCGGUUCGAUUCCGCUUACUUGCUCCA